AACGUUGAAACAUCGGUUCCCGUGCGAUCACCGAAGUUAAGCAACGUCGAACAUAGCCAGUACCUAGAUGGGUGACGGCUUGGGAAUACCCGUUGCUGUAAG
Acanthosepion pharaonis is the source of this 102-nucleotide non-coding RNA. The record is from the annotation of a GenBank genome assembly. NCBI's taxonomy places the organism in Eukaryota, Metazoa, Mollusca, Cephalopoda, Sepiida, Sepiidae.